AAAUUGAAGAGUUUGAUCAUGGCUCAGAUUGAACGCUGGCGGCAGGCCUAACACAUGCAAGUCGAACGGUAACAGGAAGCAGCUUGCUGCUUCGCUGACGAGUGGCGGACGGGUGAGUAAUGUCUGGGAAACUGCCUGAUGGAGGGGGAUAACUACUGGAAACGGUUGCUAAUCCCGCAUAACGUCGCAAGACCAUAGAGAGUGACCUUCGGGCCUCUUGCCAUCAGAUGUGCCCAGGUGGGGAUUAUCUUGUUGGUGACGUAACGGCUCACCAAUGCCACUAUCCCUAACUGGUCUGAGAGGAUGACCAGCCACACUGGAA
This 322-nucleotide ribosomal RNA is filed under the name Salmonella enterica subsp. enterica serovar Schwarzengrund. RNAcentral describes it as "bacterial SSU rRNA". It matches the Rfam family "Bacterial small subunit ribosomal RNA", at positions 1 to 318 of the family's 1533-position model. Lineage: Bacteria; Pseudomonadati; Pseudomonadota; Gammaproteobacteria; Enterobacterales; Enterobacteriaceae. The record is from RNAcentral.